This 261-nucleotide ribosomal RNA is filed under the name uncultured archaeon. RNAcentral describes it as "partial 16S ribosomal RNA". It matches the Rfam family "Archaeal small subunit ribosomal RNA", at positions 748 to 1009 of the family's 1478-position model. The record is from RNAcentral.
AGGGUGUAAACGCUGCAGACUUGGUGUUGGAAGCCCUUUGGUGGCAUUCAGUGCCGGAGAGAAGUUGUUAAGUCUGCUACUUGGGGAGUACGUCCGCAAGGAUGAAACUUAAAGGAAUUGGCGGGGGAGCACCGCAACGGGAGGAGCGUGCGGUUUAAUUGGAUUCAACACCGUAAAACUCACCAGGGAAGACUGUUACAUGAAGGCCGAGAUGAAGACUCUGCCAGAUUUUCAGAGAGGUGGUGCAUGGCGUAGACGUCU